AGACGUCUACAUUAGAUACCCCCUGUAGUCCCAGCCGUAAACUAUGCGCGUUAGGUGUAUCGGUGACCACGAGUUACCGAGGUGCCGAAGGGAAACCGUGAAACGUGCCGCCUGGGAAGUACGGUCGCAAGGCUGAAACUUAAAGGAAUUGGCGGGGAGCACCACAACGGGUGGAGCCUGCGGUUUAAUUGGACUCAACGCCGGGAAGCUCACCGGAUAAGACAGCGGAAUGAUUGCCGGGCUGAAGACUCUGCAUGACUAGCUG
This 265-nucleotide ribosomal RNA is filed under the name uncultured archaeon. RNAcentral describes it as "partial 16S ribosomal RNA". It matches the Rfam family "Archaeal small subunit ribosomal RNA", at positions 717 to 982 of the family's 1478-position model. The record is from RNAcentral.